AGCCGUCUUGUUUCUGGACAUUUUUUGCCCAUUUAAGAGACUUUUUAAAGGUAAUUUUUGGCCCUCUAGCGGUUAAAAAAAAAAAACCUUUUGUUUUGGUUGUGCUUCGGUUCUAGAUUAGCUGCUCCAUGUCGACCUAUAGCAACUUUUCUAUGUUUAUGGAUAUGACGUAUGCAUGCAAUUUCCUGUGAAAACCAGUAUAAAAUAUAAAUACUUUAAAUAGGCAUAACAUAGUGAAAAGGGAUAACACAAAACAUGUUUUGGAUGGAUGAUGUUAAUUUUGAACAAAAAAAAAGCUACAUAGUAUAGCUUUAAAUGCAUUUAGACCGUUUGUAGCUGUCUUCAUCAUAUAAUACCUGGUGUUAAUGUGUAACUCUUUCUACACAGAUGACUCAGAGAGAGCCAAUUAGAAUGCAGUGUUUGCCACUGACUUUUGACCCCCUACUCAUCUUCCCUGUUCUGUUAAAUGACAUUACUCAUGAGCUCCUCAUGCAAAAGUUUAUAAUGAGACAACAUCAUUAGAACUGCUGAAGUCCAGCGUUCAGCACCGUUACAGUUCAGACAAGUCACUUCAUUUAUUCAGUAAUGUGUGUAUAUAAUAGAAGUGUGUGUGUGUGAAUGAAUUUCGCCGACAGUAUUGAACGAACAAGAAAUGAUCCAGGCACUGAUGAGCUCUUCUUAACACUGAGUUUGAUAGCAGCGGUUUUCGACUGAAUACAUUUUCACAUUACUCUAAUGCAAAACAAUCUUACGAUUAUGUCCGUAUUGAUCAAACAUUGAAAUCCUCUGUUAAUUAUCGGAUUAAUGCCGCAUGUCUUCACUCCGUCGGUUUGAUGUGAAGAUUGGGAAAAAAACAGAUAAACGUCGGAAAGAACACUUGACAUUUUCAGUAAUUACCAAACCGUUUUAGAUUUAGUGCAAAUUUAACAACCUAAAGGUCAUUUAAAGUAAAGUCAUCCAGAUGAUUCCUGUGUGUGUAAUAGAGGACGGCCGCUGUACUGAGACUCCAGAGCAAUUAUCAGCAGAAAUGAUGGAUUUUAGCUUGAAGCAAAAGUGAUUUUAUUUUCAUCCUCAUCUAUUAACUUUCAUAACGUCCUCCUCCUUCAGGUUCUUCCUUUCAAUGCGUCUUCUUUUGAACACUAUGGACGGCAAACACACAUUGCUCACAAUGACAGAGGCAAUGAACUCUCGCUCUGUUUUUCUCUACCGCUUUUUUAUGUUGAUAUAAAUAUUAUUAUUAUUAUAUAUUUUGCAUUAAAAAAAAGAAACCUGUUUUUAGGUCCAUUAAAAUUUGCAUUGUGACAUUUUGAUGAUAAAGCACAUUUAGCCUAUAAAUCAGAAUUACAAUAAUGCAUUCACAUGUUUUUGAGUUUUUAAUGAAUAAUUACUGUAAAGGCCCCGAUAUCUAUAUUCAUGGCGAAGUUCUUUUUCGUUCUUCGUUUAGGGGUAUGAAAUACGUGAGCAGCGAUAUACUGUUAUUGAAAAUCAGACGCCGUCCACACUGCUGAGCAACGUUUAGAUGAAUAUGUAAAUAUGUCCUGCACUCUUUGCUCUCAGUAACAAAAUAAACACAACUAAAAUGAGAAAACAGCAAGCAUUUUUUAUCCACCUUGUUCCUGACGAGCCUACUGCGUUUUGAAUUAUGGGUGGCACUUUCGGUUUGGGAACUUCCAUUCAAAAAGACUGAAACAAUUCAUUUUAAAUCAUAUGGUUGCACAACAAAGAGCUGUCAACUUUUAUUUACAGACAUCAUGAGAAUAACGUAACGCUUGGUAUUUUAACAUGACGUUAGAACAAGAAUAUCUAUAGUAAGUCACUGCAUUUUUUUCCUCAUGAUUAUUUUUUUCCCCCCCUUUUUAUUCCUCUGUAAUAGUAUGAAAAAGGACAACAUAAUCUGCACAUUUGUGGUCUAUUCUCCUGAUUUAAUUUACAAUACCAUUAAUAAUGCAGUGGAAUGCACAAAGAAUCUCUCUUUUUUCUCCUCAAAUCCUCACGUCUCUUUUCAGGUUUGUUUUCACAGGUAAAUAAUAUUAAUUAUUUGUCAAAAUGACGGAAAUCACUUUGAAAUGGUAUCAAUGCUGAAGUUAAUGAACAUUUUUGAUCAAGGCAACGUACAUAAUACAGAUAUAUAUAUUACUACAGUCAUAUUUAACUCAUCCGUUAUUGCUGUGGAAAGAAUCGGUCUUUUGGGGUUAUUCAUGCUCUGUUGUAGUUUUUUGUUGAUGCUUUUACACUUUUAAAUGUCCUUUUAAUGUUCAAUGGUUGAGGGGCGAGUACAAUAAUGUUGUCUCAUUGUACCCAGUUUAAAAAAACGCAUUAUUGCGUUCAUAGAGCGAGCCUUUAACUGAUUGUUAACAGCUUAACGAAAGUUACACCCAUAAUUCAUGGGGCGUAGGAAUAAGGUGGAUACAUCACGUCAUGUUUAUUUAUAUGACAUUUUAUUCAAUAGAUUGCUUAAAAGCACAAGCUUACAGUAUCAAACAUGAAAAACAGCGUCAGUGCCUCAUUUCACCAGAAGCACAGCUUCAUUUUUUACUGUAAAGCGGCUAUCCAGUGUUCAUGUUUUAACACGCGGAAAACUUACCUAGACGGACUCAACACAUGAAAUGAGUCAGAGAAGAGUUCUGUGUGAAAGAAGGCGGAGCUUCAGCACACACCUCCUAUUAGUGUUGUCAAAAAUAUCGAUAUUUCGCUAAAUAUCGAUACUGAAAUAUCUGAACGGUACCAAUACUAAUUUCCCGAAGUAUCGAUACUAGCCGCACUUUCACUUUUCUCUCCAAAGGCGCGUUGGCGACCACCACAUGCGCACUCGCACUCGCACUCGUCUCAUUCGCUCUGGGGUGCGUUUCCCAAAGCGAACUAUGGUCGUAAGUUCCGUCGUUACCAAUAGAGUUCAAUGGGACUUACGACCAUGGUUCACCAACGAUGCUUUCGGGAAACUCACCCCUGGUUAGCAAAAGUGAAGUGAAUGGAAAGAUGGCGAGUGCACCGCCCGCGCGACCGGCUUUGGUUGAUAAGGAACACAGCAGGAGUGCUAUCUGGAAAUAUUUUGCAUAUGAGGCAAAUGAACAUGGAAAGCCGAAGGACACAAGCAAGCCAAUAUGCAAGAGAUGCUACAGAACAGUGCUAACAAAAGGCGCUAACACCACUAAUAUAGCAAAGCACCUGAGAGACCGACACCCGGAUCUGUAUAAAGAAUUUCUCGAGCACCAGAAAGAAGAUGAGACUCGACCUGCAA
This is a long non-coding RNA of Megalobrama amblycephala (Wuchang bream), 3238 nucleotides long. RefSeq lists it as uncharacterized. NCBI's taxonomy places the organism in Eukaryota, Metazoa, Chordata, Actinopteri, Cypriniformes, Xenocyprididae. The transcript is spliced from 2 exons. The record is from RefSeq and is a predicted model, not a curated record.